UACGGGGGGGGCAAGCGUUGUUCGGAAUUACUGGGCGUAAAGGGCUCGUAGGCGGCCAACUAAGUCGGACGUGAAAUCCCCAGGCUCAACCUGGGAACUGCGUCCGAUACUGGAUGGCUUGAAUCCGGGAGAGGGAUGCAGAAUUCCAGGUGUAGCGGUGAAAUGCGUAGAGAUCGGGAGGAACACCCGUGGCGAAGGCGGCCUGCUGGGCCGGUCCUGACGCUGAUGCGCGAAGGCGUGGGGAGCGAACGGG
Molecule: ribosomal RNA, 253 nt
Filed under: uncultured bacterium
Lineage: Bacteria
Description: partial 16S ribosomal RNA
Rfam family: Bacterial small subunit ribosomal RNA
Source: RNAcentral